UAAUACGUAGGGUGCAAGCGUUGUCCGGAAUUAUUGGGCGUAAAGAGCUCGUAGGCGGUCUGUCACGUCGGACGUGAAAAUCCAGGGCUCAACCCUGGACCUGCGUUCGAUACGGGCAGACUAGAGUUCGGUAGGGGAGACUGGAAUUCCUGGUGUAGCGGUGAAAUGCGCAGAUAUCAGGAGGAACACCGGUGGCGAAGGCGGGUCUCUGGGCCGAAACUGACGCUGAGGAGCGAAAGCGUGGGGAGCAAACAGGAUUAGAUACCCUGGUAGUCCACGCCGUAAACGUUGGGCGCUAGGUGUGGGGAACCUUCCACGUUCUCCGUGCCGCAGCUAACGCAUUAAGCGCCCCGCCUGGGGAGUACGGCCGCAAGGCUA
This 378-nucleotide ribosomal RNA is filed under the name uncultured bacterium. RNAcentral describes it as "bacterial SSU rRNA". It matches the Rfam family "Bacterial small subunit ribosomal RNA", at positions 521 to 896 of the family's 1533-position model. The record is from RNAcentral.